Molecule: ribosomal RNA, 481 nt
Filed under: uncultured bacterium
Lineage: Bacteria
Description: partial 16S ribosomal RNA
Rfam family: Bacterial small subunit ribosomal RNA
Source: RNAcentral
GAUGAACGCUGGCGGCGUGCCUAACACAUGCCAGUCGAACGGAGAUUCCGGACGGAAGUUUUCGGAUGGAAGACUGUAAUUCUUAGUGGCGGACGGGUGAGUAACGCGUGGGCAACCUGCCCUAUACAGGGGGAUAGCAGCUGGAAACGGCUGGUAAGACCGCAUAAGUCGGUUAAAUCGCAUGAUUUGAUCGGGAAAUGAGCAAUCAGGUAUAGGAUGGGCCCGCGUCCGAUUAGCCAGUUGGCAGGGUAAAAGCCUACCAAAGCGACGAUCGGUAGCCGGACUGAGAGGUCGGACGGCCACAUUGGGACUGAGACACGGCCCAAACUCCUACGGGAGGCAGCAGUGGGGGAUAUUGCACAAUGGAGGAAACUCUGAUGCAGCGACGCCGCGUGAGUGAAGAAGUAUUUCGGUAUGUAAAGCUCUAUCAGCAGGGAAGAUGAUGACGGUACCUGACGAAGAAGCCCCGGCUAACUACGUG